This 460-nucleotide ribosomal RNA is filed under the name uncultured bacterium. RNAcentral describes it as "partial 16S ribosomal RNA". It matches the Rfam family "Bacterial small subunit ribosomal RNA", at positions 338 to 795 of the family's 1533-position model. The record is from RNAcentral.
CCUACGGGUGGCUGCAGUGAGGAAUAUUGGUCAAUGGACGAGCGUCUGAACCAGCCAAGUAGCGUGAAGGAUGACUGCCCUAUGGGUUGUAAACUUCUUUUAUAAAGGAAUAAAACGAGGCACGUGUGCCUUUUUGCAUGUACCAUAUGAAUAAGCAUCGGCUAACUCCGUGCCAGCAGCCGCGGUAAUACGGAGGAUGCGAGCGUUAUCAGGAUUUAUUGGGGUUAAAGGGUGCGUAGGUGGUUAAUUAAGUCAGCGGUGAAAGUUUGUGGCUCAACCAUAAAAUUGCCGUUGAAACUGGUUGACUUGAGUAUAUUUGAGGUAGGCGGAAUGCGUGGUGUAGCGGUGAAAUGCAUAGAUAUCACGCAGAACUCCGAUUGCGAAGGCAGCUUACUAAACUAUAACUGACACUGAAGCACGAAAGCGUGGGGAUCAAACAGGAUUAGAUACCCCAGUAGUC